Molecule: ribosomal RNA, 400 nt
Filed under: uncultured bacterium
Lineage: Bacteria
Description: bacterial SSU rRNA
Rfam family: Bacterial small subunit ribosomal RNA
Source: RNAcentral
UAAGGAAUAUUGGUCAAUGGGCGCAAGCCUGAACCAGCCAUGCCGCGUGAAGGAUGACGGCCCUAUGGGUUGUAAACUUCUUUUGUACGGGAAAAAACCUCUGGUCGUGUACCAGAGCUGAUGGUACCGUAAGAAUAAGCAUCGGCUAACUCCGUGCCAGCAGCCGCGGUAAUACGGAGGAUGCAAGCGUUAUCCGGAUUCAUUGGGUUUAAAGGGUGCGCAGGCGGAUUAUUAAGUCAGUGGUGAAAGCCUACAGCUUAACUGUAGAACUGCCAUUGAUACUGAUAUUCUUGAGUGUUGUUGAGGUAGGCGGAAUGUGUCAUGUAGCGGUGAAAUGCUUAGAUAUGACACAGAACACCGAUCGCGAAGGCAGCUUACCAAGCAACAACUGACGCUCAUG